GGAACGGACGGCCCGGGAGCAGGCGGCGGCGCAGGGGCUGCCGGCGGAGCAGGCCGACGCGGCGGCCGCGCAGGUUCCGAGCCUCGUCCCGUUCCUC
This 97-nucleotide transfer RNA is filed under the name Pseudonocardia halophobica. RNAcentral describes it as "tRNA-Pro". The record is from RNAcentral. Lineage: Bacteria; Bacillati; Actinomycetota; Actinomycetes; Pseudonocardiales; Pseudonocardiaceae.